Carya illinoinensis is the source of this 109-nucleotide small nucleolar RNA. NCBI's taxonomy places the organism in Eukaryota, Viridiplantae, Streptophyta, Magnoliopsida, Fagales, Juglandaceae. The record is from RefSeq and is a predicted model, not a curated record.
AACCCAUGAUGAGGACACAUGUUGACCUACUCUUUGAACCUUUCCCAGCUUGAAUGAAAAGUCUCAUCUGCUUUCUGCAUGAAUUGACUAAUUUGUUCCUGCAAAGAUU